Ornithodoros turicata is the source of this 585-nucleotide long non-coding RNA. RefSeq lists it as uncharacterized. The transcript is spliced from 3 exons. NCBI's taxonomy places the organism in Eukaryota, Metazoa, Arthropoda, Arachnida, Ixodida, Argasidae. The record is from RefSeq and is a predicted model, not a curated record.
GGCACGUUGAGGUGGAGCCGGUGGUAAAGUGACGCAAACGGCCUAGUGAACGAUGUCGAGAAAGUAGAGGCAAGCUCCGUGUCAACGCGGUGGAGCAGCGAGGCGCGAGCCCCGCCAGAGAGCCAUUGUGCCUGACACAAAGCAGUCAACAUGGCCCUAGCGUCGGACUUGCUGAAAUAGAUGAGUCGUGACGCACACUUCUGGUGUGCUCUGCGUGCCGCAGCAUCAGCCGCAUCAUGCCCAGAGAGAAAGAGAGAAAAUGGCAACGGGGAACGUUCAUUUUGCGGCCGUAAAAUCAGGCGCAGCUGCCUGUAAUGUUUCCGAAUUGGUCUUCCUUUCAAGCAAGAAGGUCAUUUCGACGGGAAGAAAUUCGAGUAGGGCUGCUGAGAAGGACAUGUAUAUUCCCUAUUUGGCGUCGAUGCUUUAUGAGAACCAUAAGAAAAGGAAGAGGACAUCUGUAGGAGAAGAAGAAAAAAAGAAACGCUGAAUGUAGGUCUUACUUGGAAAGGUCGUAUAUGAGCUAUAUAUAGCUCGAGAGGACUCGUCAUCGGCGCUUUUAAGAUGUGGAAGGCUACGUGUGGGUCC